RNAcentral lists this ribosomal RNA (906 nucleotides) under Brunnipila fuscescens. RNAcentral's name for it is "partial large subunit ribosomal RNA". It matches the Rfam family "Eukaryotic large subunit ribosomal RNA", at positions 36 to 959 of the family's 3401-position model. The record is from RNAcentral. Lineage: Eukaryota; Fungi; Ascomycota; Leotiomycetes; Helotiales; Lachnaceae.
UAGCAUAUCAAUAAGCGGAGGAAAAGAAACCAACAGGGAUUACCUCAGUAACGGCGAGUGAAGCGGUAACAGCUCAAAUUUGAAAUCUGGCUCUUUCAGGGUCCGAGUUGUAAUUUGUAGAAGAUGCUUUGGGUGAGGCUCUAGUCUAAGUUCCUUGGAACAGGACGUCAUAGAGGGUGAGAAUCCCGUAUGUGAUUAGGCGCCUUCGCCCGUGUAAAGCUCUUUCGACGAGUCGAGUUGUUUGGGAAUGCAGCUCAAAAUGGGUGGUAAAUUUCAUCUAAAGCUAAAUAUUGGCCAGAGACCGAUAGCGCACAAGUAGAGUGAUCGAAAGAUGAAAAGCACUUUGGAAAGAGAGUUAAACAGUACGUGAAAUUGUUGAAAGGGAAGCGCUUGCAACCAGACUCGCAUGCCGUCGAUCAUCCUGUGUUCUCACUGGUGCACUCGGCGGCCUUCGGGCCAGCAUUGGUUUGGGUGGUGGGAUAAAGGCCUUGGGAAUGUAGCUCCUCUCGGGGAGUGUUAUAGCCCUCGGUGCAAUGCCGCCUACCUGGACCGAGGACCGCGCUUCGGCUAGGAUGCUGGCGUAAUGGUUGUAAGCGACCCGUCUUGAAACACGGACCAAGGAGUCUAACAUCUAUGCGAGUAUUUGGGUGUCAAACCCAUAUGCGUAAUGAAAGUGAACGGAGGUGAGAACCCUCAAGGGUGCAUCAUCGACCGAUCCUGAUGUCUUCGGAUGGAUUUGAGUAAGAGCAUAGCUGUUGGGACCCGAAAGAUGGUGAACUAUGCCUAAAUAGGGUGAAGCCAGAGGAAACUCUGGUGGAGGCUCGCAGCGGUUCUGACGUGCAAAUCGAUCGUCAAAUUUGGGUAUAGGGGCGAAAGACUAAUCGAACCAUCUAGUAGCUGGUUCCU